GAUGAACGCUGGCGGUAUGCUUAACACAUGCAAGUCGAACGGACUCUUCGGAGUUAGUUGCGGACGGGUGAGUAACGCGUGGGAAUCUGGCUUUGGGUUCGGGACAACCACUGGAAACGGUGGCUAAUACCGGAUGUGCCAAGAGGUAAAAGAGAAAUUGCCUGAAGAUGAGCUCGCGUCUGAUUAGCUAGUUGGUGAAGGAAAGGCUCACUAAUGCAGCGGUCAGUAGCUGGUCUGAGGGGAGGACCAGCCACACGGGGACUGAGACACGGCCCAGACCAAUACGGGAGGACGGAGUGGGGAAUUGUCCGCAGGGGGCGAGAGCCUGACGGAGCAAUACCGCGUGAGGGAAGAAGGCUCUUGGGGUGUAAACCUUUUUUCUUAGGGAAGAACAAAAUGACGGUACCUAAGGAAUAAGCAUCGGCUAACUCCGUG
This 435-nucleotide ribosomal RNA is filed under the name uncultured bacterium. Its description in RNAcentral is "partial 16S ribosomal RNA". It matches the Rfam family "Bacterial small subunit ribosomal RNA", at positions 28 to 507 of the family's 1533-position model. The record is from RNAcentral.